AUGGCUCAGGAUGAACGCUGGCGGCGUGCUUAAUACAUGCAAGUCGAACGAAGCACCUGCGACGGAUCCCUUCGGGGUGAAGAUGCUUGUGACUGAGUGGCGGACGGGUGAGUAACGCGUGGGUAACCUGCCUUAUGCAGGGGGACAACAGUUAGAAAUGACUGCUAAUACCGCAUAAGCGCACGAGACCGCAUGGUCAAGUGUGAAAAGAUUUAUCGGCAUAAGAUGGACCCGCGUCUGAUUAGGUAGUUGGUGAGGUAACGGCCCACCAAGCCGACGAUCAGUAGCCGACUUGAGAGAGUGAUCGGCCACAUUGGGACUGAGACACGGCCCAGACUCCUACGGGAGGCAGCAGUAGGGAAUAUUGCACAAUGGGGGAAACCCUGAUGCAAGCGACGCCGCGUGAGUGAUUGAAGUAUUUCGGUACGUAAAGCUCUAUCAGCAGGGAAGAUAAUGACGGUACCUGACUAAGAAGCCCCGGCUAACUACGUGCCAGCCGCGGC
This 503-nucleotide ribosomal RNA is filed under the name uncultured bacterium. RNAcentral's name for it is "bacterial SSU rRNA". It matches the Rfam family "Bacterial small subunit ribosomal RNA", at positions 19 to 518 of the family's 1533-position model. The record is from RNAcentral.